Paramuricea clavata is the source of this 82-nucleotide non-coding RNA. The record is from the annotation of a GenBank genome assembly. Lineage: Eukaryota; Metazoa; Cnidaria; Anthozoa; Malacalcyonacea; Plexauridae.
GACCGCGUAGCUCAGUUGGCAGAGCAUUGGAUUGGGCUAGUAUUCCAAAGGCCGUAGGUUCGAAUCCGGUCCACCGUGGCCA